Long non-coding RNA from Mauremys mutica (yellowpond turtle), 256 nucleotides. RefSeq lists it as uncharacterized. The record is from RefSeq and is a predicted model, not a curated record. Lineage: Eukaryota; Metazoa; Chordata; Testudines; Geoemydidae. The transcript is spliced from 3 exons.
UGGAGCUGGAGGAGAGUGGAUGGUGCUGGGACUCCACCAGGACAAGGUCCUGAGAUGAUCAAGCUGCCAGGAGGUGCAGCUAAGCUUGUCAGGUGGCAUUGCAUGCGGAUCUUCUCCUUGAUUGACUGUGCCACACACCCAGUAAGGAGAAAGCAGUGCAAAGCAGCCCACUGAAGCACCUACGGAGGGAUUCUCGUUGUGAUACAGAGUUGGUUGGUACGGCUGGCCUUACCUCUCCAAUCCAGAAUAGAGGGUG